RNAcentral lists this small RNA (173 nucleotides) under [Enterobacter] lignolyticus SCF1. RNAcentral describes it as "Enterobacter cloacae SCF1 SraG RNA". It matches the Rfam family "SraG RNA". Rfam says of the family: This RNA was discovered in E. coli during a large scale screen. Evidence was found for specific cleavage of this RNA. Lineage: Bacteria; Pseudomonadati; Pseudomonadota; Gammaproteobacteria; Enterobacterales; Enterobacteriaceae. The record is from Rfam by way of RNAcentral.
CUUCUUGCAUCCUCGCGACUAAUGACAACCUUAACCCUGGCGGGUAAAGCCUCUCAUUAGCCGCGCGAACCUCUGCAAUGAAGAUCAUUUAUUGCAACAAUACAAACAAUACAUGAGUUUCCGGCGAAUUGCUGCCAUCUGGUUGAAAAAAGGGGCCGUGAAGGCCCCUCUUU